This 253-nucleotide ribosomal RNA is filed under the name uncultured prokaryote. Its description in RNAcentral is "partial 16S ribosomal RNA". It matches the Rfam family "Bacterial small subunit ribosomal RNA", at positions 524 to 776 of the family's 1533-position model. The record is from RNAcentral.
UACGGAGGGUGCAAGCGUUAUCCGGAUUUACUGGGUUUAAAGGGUGUGUAGGCGGACAUUUAAGUCAGUGGUGAAAUCCCGGGGCUCAACCCCGGAACUGCCUUUGAUACUAUAUGUCUUGAAUCUUGUUGAGGUGGGCGGAACGGGUCAUGUAGCGGUGAAAUGCAUAGAUAUGACCCGGAACACCGAUUGCGAAGGCAGCCCGCUAAGCAAGUAUUGACGCUGAGGCACGAAAGCGUGGGGAUCAAACAGG